Molecule: long non-coding RNA, 1761 nt
Organism: Lagenorhynchus albirostris (white-beaked dolphin)
Lineage: Eukaryota; Metazoa; Chordata; Mammalia; Artiodactyla; Delphinidae
Exons: 3
Source: RefSeq, a predicted model, not a curated record
UCAUUGGAUGUAGGGCCAGCCUCAUCCAGGAGGACCUCAUCUCAGACCCUUCACUUCCAUCCGGAUAAUCAAGAAUGAUCUCUUCAUCUCAAGAUCCUUCAUUAGUUACAUCUGUCAAGAGCCUUUUGCUGACAAAGUCAUAUCCACAGGUAACAGGGUUUAGGACGUGGUCAUAUCUUUUUGGUAGAAAAUAUUCAAUCCACUGCAUGGUACAUGAACUGGAUACUUGGAAACUCAGGAAACAUCCAUUCCUUUUCUGGUGAACUGGAGAACCACGGAGGUCACGGCUUCUUCUAUAUGUACCCAAGGCCGCUUUCCUGGGCGAGUGACCCAUGUCACUACACGGGACCCUGGGCUCAUAAGGACGCCUAUUGGCUUAAUGCCCUAUGGCCGCCAUCUUGAAAUUCUUGAAGCGUGAGCAAGGACCCGUAUUUUCAUUUUGCCCUGGAACUGCAAAUGCGAUAGCCCUCUCUGCUCACGUUCCUUCCAACCUCAAGAAAGAGGAGCAAGUCUGCACCCAAUAAGGACACCCCCAUCCCCAGCACACCCUCCAUCCAGCCACUGAUGUGCUCAAACCAACCUUUCAUGGGUGGUGAAGACCUCUCCCCAAGAUCCAGUAAGGCUAGUGGGUUUUGGCUGCAUACUGGGGAAGCCUCUGAAAACCACUAAUGUUCAGCUCCAUCAUCAACAGAAUCCCCAAGUUCGUUCCCCUGGGCACCGGCAUUUAUUAGACCUCCUCAAGCCAUCCUCUUGUUCAGGCAAGGUUGAGACCCUCUGGGCCAGGCAAAUGCAGAUUGAAGCUUCCAGCCCUGGGCGCCAGCCCCUCCCAGAACUGCUCAGAUGUUCUGCUAAGCCCUACAGCCCCGACUGAUGUGUUUCAGAGCUAGAAUUACUUUGUAUGUUCAAACCAAGAUGGAGACAUGCCUUGUCUAAUAUUUCCGGACAGCCAGGAUGAUAUACUGCAAAGCAGAAUCUUGACUUCCAGGAAGAUCCCAACCUUGGAGCAUUUGCACAUCACUAGAGAGCCCUUUAUGGCUUGAGGUCAUAGUACACAAGUGCUAGCUACUCUUAGCGGCAUCACAAAGUUGGUUCCCAAGUACAGACUCAGGAUGAGGAUGCAGGAAGAGACCUGGCCAGUCCGACAUCCUCUGUCACUUUGAGAACAAGCUUGCUGGCCCCUGAAAGAUGCUGCAGUCCCUGGGCGAAGCUAGGCUCUGAGAGCAACUUGGACUGUGUAGGACCCUGGCCUCUCAGGGCUCCUCCUCUUUGCAUGACCGGCCUUAUGUCGCUCGUCCACCAGGGGAGAGAGAGGACACAGUUCUGGAGAAGUUACCAUGUUCCCUCGACACCUGAUUGUGGAACAUUCCUCAGAGCUCAGAGACACUUCCCAGCAGCUGGAGAAGUCUCGUGGACCACUGGAAACUCAGGAGAGUCGCUCGACUUUCUGGAAGACCCUAUUGAAUACGCAGAAAAUGGAAGUGGGAUGGUCCAAAUCCACAGAGACGAACUCCCGUGCCAUCUGUGGAAUCGUUGACUCAGUCCCUGAGACUGCAAACUCCGGGAAAGAAGGGCUCAAGUGUCUCCGGCUCACCUUCCAAAGGGGAGCAGUAUCUCUGCCUGCUGCCCCAUCCGGCUCGAUCCGCGAGCAGCAGAGGGAGGAGGGUUGCCGUGUCAGCCGUCAGGUGCGACCCCACGCCUCUGCAGGGUUCCCCUCUCGUUGCCAAGAUCCUGGCAUGUGGAACACGGUGCAGGGAUUCGGAU